Molecule: non-coding RNA, 561 nt
Filed under: unclassified sequences
Description: ROOL RNA
Rfam family: ROOL RNA
About the family: Firmicutes, Fusobacteria (1 example), Tenericutes (1 example). Environment (Cow rumen (57))
Source: Rfam by way of RNAcentral
GGUUUUAGGCAAAACCUGUCUGUAAGGGUGUGACGAGCCUAGAUAGGUACUUAACCUCUAAUUCGAUAAGCCGUCAGUGUUCGAUAGGGUACUGAUUGUGAUGACGACUAGAAAGUCAGCAGGUGGAAGCAUCUGUGCGUGGGUUAGGUAGCCUCAUAUACAUGAACGACUGAUGUAGAGUUCGAUUGGGGAGAUAAGUAUCUAAUGCGUGUCAUUAGGUCACCUCGGUAUGACUAGGGUGAGAGCUAGGAACCGUAGGGGUGUUCUCAAAGGAAUCCUUUGCAGUGACGUCCUCGUAAGUGGACUAUAACAGUAGAACUCGUAUUAGUAGCCUAAUACUGCAGCCCUUUUGGGGUUUGUUGUCCAUAUAGUUUAAGAUGGAAACAUAUUACAAGAUAUUUACUCUUGUUAGGUGAAAGUUGAUGGUCGCCAAGCCAGUCCGUACAUCCAAAAAGGACUCUAUUUAGUAGGAAGUCGAGAGCCUAUGAGAGUUAGAGUCGGUACGAAACAUCUAUUGUCUGCAGUGUAUGUGUUGGUAGGGCUAAAAACCCUUGCCUAUUU